CGCGGUUAUGGCGGAGCGGAGCGCGCAUGCCAGUGGUCCGCUGAAGACGAUCGCGUGUUUUUUUAGGCGGUCUCGCCGCCCGACCGCGC
RNAcentral lists this transfer RNA (89 nucleotides) under Methylopila jiangsuensis. RNAcentral describes it as "tRNA-Thr". The record is from RNAcentral. Lineage: Bacteria; Pseudomonadati; Pseudomonadota; Alphaproteobacteria; Hyphomicrobiales; Methylopilaceae.